CCUUGUCAUACUCCUUUCCCAAUUUUGAACCAGUCAGUUGUUCGAAGUCCAGUUCUAACUGUUGCUGAGUUUUGAGAAACCCAGUAUAGGUUUCUCAGGACACGGUUACAGGAAUUAGCUGUAUGUACACCUAUAUCCCUUCCCGCCUUGGUUUAUUUUAAAUGACAUAGCUGCUUGAGUACUUUUGCCCUGUAGGUUUCUUUGCUUUUCAUAGAGAAGGAUGGAAUUACUAAUUGACAGAAUGUGUGCCAUAUAUUUUAGAGUUUUGGUGCAAACUGGCUACAGAAACAGAACAAGAAUUUCUUGGCCUAGGGGUUUUCUUAUUUGUUAAUUUUUUUCUACAGGCUUGGUUUAGAAGAGCUGAACAGUUAGCUCCAUUUUGAGCUGAGUUUUCUUAGAACAAGGGCGGUUUGGAUGACAUGAAGUUAGGAGCUCAUGAAAAUACAUAAAGAGAUAAUAUCACACAGUUAACACGUCUAGUCAAGGCUAUGGUUUUUCCAAUGGUCAUGUAUGGAGUGAGAGUUGGACUAUGAAGAAAGCUGAGCGCCAAA
Bubalus bubalis (water buffalo) is the source of this 551-nucleotide long non-coding RNA. RefSeq lists it as uncharacterized. Lineage: Eukaryota; Metazoa; Chordata; Mammalia; Artiodactyla; Bovidae. The record is from RefSeq and is a predicted model, not a curated record. The transcript has 2 exons.